ACCGAGGUGGUGGAAUUGGUAGACACGCUACCGUGCCCUAACGGGCUUGUGGGUUCGAGUCCCAUCCUCGGUACCA
Molecule: transfer RNA, 76 nt
Filed under: Citrobacter freundii
Lineage: Bacteria; Pseudomonadati; Pseudomonadota; Gammaproteobacteria; Enterobacterales; Enterobacteriaceae
Description: tRNA-OTHER
Rfam family: tRNA
About the family: Transfer RNA (tRNA) molecules are approximately 80 nucleotides in length. Their secondary structure includes four short double-helical elements and three loops (D, anti-codon, and T loops). Further hydrogen bonds mediate the characteristic L-shaped molecular structure. tRNAs have two regions of fundamental functional importance: the anti-codon, which is responsible for specific mRNA codon recognition, and the 3' end, to which the tRNAs corresponding amino acid is attached (by aminoacyl-tRNA synthetases). tRNAs cope with the degeneracy of the genetic code in two manners: having more than one tRNA (with a specific anti-codon) for a particular amino acid; and 'wobble' base-pairing, i.e. permitting non-standard base-pairing at the 3rd anti-codon position.
Source: RNAcentral